RNAcentral lists this non-coding RNA (30 nucleotides) under Homo sapiens (human). Lineage: Eukaryota; Metazoa; Chordata; Mammalia; Primates; Hominidae. The record is from RNAcentral.
UGAGAACUACCUCACUAUCCGGGGAGCAGC